This 459-nucleotide ribosomal RNA is filed under the name Methylobacterium fujisawaense. RNAcentral describes it as "bacterial SSU rRNA". It matches the Rfam family "Bacterial small subunit ribosomal RNA", at positions 14 to 519 of the family's 1533-position model. Lineage: Bacteria; Pseudomonadati; Pseudomonadota; Alphaproteobacteria; Hyphomicrobiales; Methylobacteriaceae. The record is from RNAcentral.
UGAUCCUGGCUCAGAGCGAACGCUGGCGGCAGGCUUAACACAUGCAAGUCGAGCGGGCCCUUCGGGGUCAGCGGCGGACGGGUGAGUAACGCGUGGGAACGUGCCUUCUGGUUCGGAAUAACCCUGGGAAACUAGGGCUAAUACCGGAUACGCCCUUUUGGGGAAAGGUUUACUGCCGGAAGAUCGGCCCGCGUCUGAUUAGCUAGUUGGUGGGGUAACGGCCUACCAAGGCGACGAUCAGUAGCUGGUCUGAGAGGAUGAUCAGCCACACUGGGACUGAGACACGGCCCAGACUCCUACGGGAGGCAGCAGUGGGGAAUAUUGGACAAUGGGCGCAAGCCUGAUCCAGCCAUGCCGCGUGAGUGAUGAAGGCCUUAGGGUUGUAAAGCUCUUUUAUCCGGGACGAUAAUGACGGUACCGGAGGAAUAAGCCCCGGCUAACUUCGUGCCAGCAGCCGCG